This is a long non-coding RNA of Panicum virgatum (switchgrass), 1623 nucleotides long. RefSeq lists it as uncharacterized. The transcript has 3 exons. The record is from RefSeq and is a predicted model, not a curated record. NCBI's taxonomy places the organism in Eukaryota, Viridiplantae, Streptophyta, Magnoliopsida, Poales, Poaceae.
AAGUGUUGUGUGUGUCAUCAAUCGCCAAAACAUUAUAUUGAAAUAUGGCAUGAGAGGCCAUUUUCGCUACACGUGGCCGCGGGGGAGAUCGAGCACGCUGCCGCUGGAGAUGCUGGGGCCGGCCGGAGCAUCAAAAGGACCCCGAGGCCGUGCACCGGACCGGUGCGGAUGGGACUAGCUUUCACAGAUCGAGUACUACUACCUCGGCAAGCCGGACAUAUUCGCUUUGGGAUGAGUUUUGUGCAUAUUGCGUCGUAAGAUACAUACAUAUUUUGUUGUCUCGUGCAGGAGUACAUUCGCAAGCGUCAGGGACCCAUUGAUUCCAUCCUUAAGGAGAUCCAUGAUUUUAAGCAUGACGUUGCUAUGCCUGCAAGCUUUGCUCAGGUCUGUGGAGAUGAGGAUAUGUUACAGAUGUUUGCGCUUAAGAUGAAAGGUUGUGGGACAAUUCUGGAGACGUCCUUGGAGCUUCGAAGUCCCACACCAAUAAACCGUGAGGCUUUGAUCAUGAUCGGGAAUAAUUUGAAGAUGGCUGCGCUGGAGUAUGAAGAGGGCUUAGAGACACUAGACAGGGUUGUCGCAUCCCUCAAAAUAAUGUGUGUCACAUCACUAGGAUGUCCAAAAGACUACUGGAGCCGCUCAACACCUGCAUGUCUACUCCGCCCUGCGUGUGAAGGUAACCAGGUCAACAACUAAUUCGUGUUAAUUACGCUGUGAGAAUUAUGCUGGCUAGCUACUUAUUUACGUAUUGUUGGGAACCAAGGUGGCCCUAAUACUCACUAUGCAGACAACUACACCUAAGACACACCAACUCACUCUAGAGUCGGUAGCUUUUUCAAUUUCUAGCUACUUAGUGUAUAAGGUAAUUUCGACGGCCGAGCCGUUUUCUCGUUUCCAGGUGGCAGAGUCUACCAACAGAUGAAGCUGGCUUCCGAGAGGCAGAGCCUUUCUACAAUGAAGCCCAGACCCUUUGUGAUCCCGGUUGGCAGAGCCAGCCUACGAUAGAUCACAACUUAUAAACUAAGUAUUUAAAAACUGGAAGACUAACACUUACAAGGGAACUCAAACAUUUAUUCACAGCUCAACUUGAUACAACACGAGAUGACAUUGACAAUCUUUAUGUGGCUAUCCUACGAUGACACCACUAUACUACAUUACAACAUUGUCAUCUCCUACUUGAGACCUCUUAUGCCAUGGUAUAGCAAGGGGGAGGGGGACACCCUAUUUAUAGGACAGCAUGAUUCAUAUGGUGUUGUCAUGUGUCCACCUUCUACACUCUUCUACAUUUCUAGAGUUUUCUCUAUCUUUAUCCUAUCAUACAAAUAUCUUCUCUAGAGAAUUCUACACUUCACCAUGAAGCAUGAUAACUAUUACUCAUACUUGCUCUCCACUCUUCUAGAACCUUCUUACAUUGGCAUAAUCUUAUCCUCAUGCAUUACAAAUUUAGUUUCUUGUGAUUUCCACAAUUUUCUAGCAUGUUCCAUGUAUGCAUUUCAUAUUUCAACAUGUAUGAUGAAUCAUGAUAUAUAUGGAGUUACGCUGUGAGAUUUAUGUUGGAUUGCUACUUAUUUAUGUAUGAUGAAUCAUAAUAUGGAGUUAUGUUGUGAGAAUUAUGCUGGCUUGCUA